AAUGAACGCUGGCGGCAGGCCUAACACAUGCAAGUCGAGCGAGCGGCGGACGGGUGAGAAAUGUAUGGGGACUCCCGGAUAUAGGGGGAAGACAACGGGAAACGGUAGCUAAUAACGCAUAGUAUCGGCUAACCCAUCUGGGAUUAGCUAGUAGGUGAGGUAAUGGCUCACCUAGGCGACGAUCCCUAGCUGGUCGGAGAGGAUGAUCAGCCCCACUGGGAUGGAGAAACGGCCCCGAUUCCUCCGGAGGCUGCGGGGGGGAUUAUUGCACAAUGAGCACAAGCCUGAUGCAGCCAUGCCCCGUGUAUGAGGAAGGCCCUAGGUUUGUAAAGUACUUUCAGUCGGGAGGCGUUACCGACAGAAGAAGCACCGGCUAACUCCGUGCCAGCAGCCGCGGUAAUAC
This 403-nucleotide ribosomal RNA is filed under the name uncultured bacterium. RNAcentral's name for it is "partial 16S ribosomal RNA". It matches the Rfam family "Bacterial small subunit ribosomal RNA", at positions 29 to 526 of the family's 1533-position model. The record is from RNAcentral.